AGAGUUUGAUUAUGGCUCAGGACGAACGCUGGCGGCGUGCCUAACACAUGCAAGUCGAGCGAGGAGAUCCUCGGGAUGAUCCUAGCGGCGGACGGGUGAGUAACACGUGGGCAACCUGCCUCAUAGAGAGGAAUAGCCUUCCGAAAGGGAGAUUAAUACCUCAUAACAUUGCAGUUUCGCAUGGAACAGCAAUUAAAGGAGUAAUCCGCUAUGAGAUGGGCCCGCGGCGCAUUAGCUAGUUGGUGAGGUAACGGCUCACCAAGGCGACGAUGCGUAGCCGACCUGAGAGGGUGAUCGGCCACAUUGGGACUGAGACACGGCCCAGACUCCUACGGGAGGCAGCAGUGGGGAAUAUUGCACAAUGGGGGAAACCCUGAUGCCAGCAACGCCGCGUGAGUGAUGACGGCCUUUCGGGUUGGUAAAGCUCUGUCUUCAGGGACGAUAAUGACGGUACCUGAGGAGGAAGCCACGGCUAACUACGUGCCAGCCGCGGC
Molecule: ribosomal RNA, 494 nt
Filed under: uncultured bacterium
Lineage: Bacteria
Description: bacterial SSU rRNA
Rfam family: Bacterial small subunit ribosomal RNA
Source: RNAcentral